Molecule: long non-coding RNA, 2431 nt
Organism: Solanum pennellii
Lineage: Eukaryota; Viridiplantae; Streptophyta; Magnoliopsida; Solanales; Solanaceae
Exons: 3
Source: RefSeq, a predicted model, not a curated record
UUAUUGCUUCUUUUCGGUAACCUGCAAGGGGUUGUUUGAGUAGUGAAUACUCUUUGUCUUUACUAACCCUACAAAUUCUCUUCCGGCAAGUUUCAGGUUCCUCCGGAUCGCUCCGACGCCUUUGAUGUUCACAUCUUCUGGACGAGAGUCAUCUGUGACAGGAUAAUGGAAGAUCUAGUUAUCAAAGGCUUAUUCGGGCGUUUUUUUUCAUGUCCAGUUCGUAGCAAAAUCUCCAACUUUUGCAGAGUAGCACAGGAUGCCAGAUUCACUCACUGCUUCACUAUGAUCUAUGUUUACCAUGGAUAACGAAAUUAUCAGAUGUAUUAGAAUCUUUAUCUCCAAAAAGAAGAGGAGGUUAUAAAAUCAAAAUAUCUUGCCUUCCAUCCGGAUCCAGCUUGCGCUCCUCACGGGUAACUCUAUCCACUAAUCUUAUAGCUCAUGGUUCUCAACCUACUUCAAUCCUUAAGCCAUACCCUUGGGUACCCUUCCAUACCCUUUUUCACGAGCCAAUGCAUCCUAUCCAGCUGCUGCUAGCAACGCAUGUCAUUUUGGCCGAGUGUGAAGUUAAUUAUCCAUCAUUUGGUAUUCAAAAUUUAGCGAGAGCUUGACAGUUCUCUUCUGUACUAUUUUCAUUGCACCAAGGGUAUGCUAGCUUCUCUCUUUAAGUCCAGGUUUUUUCUUCCUUUGUGGUGUGAUUUAUCAUAUUCUACUUGUUUUUGAUGGCCAGUAAAGCCUCGAGUCAUAAUGCUUGCUGUGAGUACUUUCGUACGAAAUGUUAAUAUUUAGUUAGGUAGGUAAGUUAGCUUAGUCCAUCAUAUUGACUUUGGAAAUCCAUAAAUCCCAAUCCUUUAUCAUAUCUUAUACCCUAAACCCAACAAUAAUUCUUCUAUGAUGACAAGUUAACUAAGUAUAAUUUUUACUUUAUACUAGAAUGUUAGGUUAUUAGAAGUUACAUUUUGAAAAUUAGCAACUGUUAUGAUAUUUGUCUUCUUAUCAUCAAUGGAUAGUCUUUACUAGGUGCAACAAGAUAGAUACGGAAUACUGAUUUCUUUAGGUAGGGGAAUGUAAAGUCAGCAUUGAAAAAGAGUAACAAAAUAAAGAUCCAUCCCUCAUAUUAAGCAAAUAACCAUACAAGUCAUUUUAUAAUCCUUAUGAUCUAUUAUAAUGAAGCUCCAAAAUUGUUAGAAUAUUACAAAGGAAUUUGUGGCUCGAGAUCCAAACCCUUAACACCAAAAUAGAUUUACAUAAAUAGCAUUGAAAGACUUAGAAGUUGGAUAUUUAAUUAAUAUAGUAGCUAAGGGUAUGCAAUUGGGAUUAGAAGCCUUAAGUAAUCUUCAAAGUACAUAAAGUAAAGUUGUGAAGCAAAAUCAUCAGUUGCUUGUUUUCAUGUACUUUCAACAUAUGAACAAAUUUAACUGGAAACAAGAAAACAAGAACUAAUGACUGCUAAUACAAUAAUUCCUCUACCAAAAUGCAAUGUAGGGCCUCGCAACCUUCCCAUAUCCAAUGGCCUUCUUGUAAACUGGUUUGCGCAUCAUGCCACAUUCUGUUUGAGACUGUUGCUUUACUCCAUACUUGUUUGUCUGUUGUUCUCUCUCUAUAGGAGCAGAAUCCUUAAUUCCUCUAUCUCUACUUGUCGAUUUCCCUUCACCUUUGCUUCUACUGGACUUCUUUUUUUCAGUCUGAAUCACCUUCGACUUCUUCUGUUUCCUGAAUUUACUCUCAAUAGCAUUGGCAUCACUUUCACCCAAUUCAUUACCUAAAUAGUCUUGUUCCCUUGAUUUUCUUUUCUUUACAGAAACUUCCCUCCUGUUGUGUGCUUUUAAAUCAAUUGAAGUACCUUUAGAACCACGAUUUUGAAAGUUACUUUGGAUGAGAGAUUGGUAGAGGGCAUGUAGAGCACUUGUGGUAUCGUCCUCACUAAUGUCACAACAGUUCAUGCCAGGAAGCCAGUCUAACAUGGUGCAGACCCAACUCUGAGAAAGUUGAUUGGGUUUUGUACCAUAGGGGAGAAGCCUCCGCUUCCGACAUGUAGAACAUCGAAUCCAAUCUUCUUGUAUAAUGAAUGGAGCAAGUGGUGACUCAUCCACUGAAGUGGUCAGUUCCCGGCAGUGUGUCUUAUCAGAAGUUGUGUGUGAAUCACUACUCUUCGGGGCAUCAGUAUUACCAGAACGAAGCUUAAUCCUAAUCCUAAUGGGUUGGUGAGAAGAAAUAGGGGUAGGGGUAGGGGUAGGGGAAGGGAGUUUUUGAGAUAUCUGUGGUUGAACUACAAGUUGAUCAAUCGGCAAAAACGAACCAUAAACACCAAAUUUUGGCCCCAAUUGCUCAGCAGAAACAGUACCUUUGAAAUCUUUCGUAUAAUUGCCCAAAACAGUUUGAAGCUUAGCAUCAAUGUUUAUAUGAGAAUCGUCAUAUAUUUCUCCUCCUUCAA